Molecule: ribosomal RNA, 443 nt
Filed under: uncultured bacterium
Lineage: Bacteria
Description: partial 16S ribosomal RNA
Rfam family: Bacterial small subunit ribosomal RNA
Source: RNAcentral
CCUACGGGUGGCUGCAGUGGGGAAUAUUGGGCAAUGGGCGCAAGCCUGACCCAGCAACGCCGCGUGAAGGAAGAAGGCUUUCGGGUUGUAAACUUCUUUUCUCAGGGACGAAGCAAGUGGCGGUACCUGAGGAAUAAGGCACGGCUAACUACGUGCCAGCAGCCGCGGUAAUACGUAGGCGGCAAGCGUUAUCCGGAUUUACUGGGUGUAAAGGGUGAGUAGGCGGGACUGCAAGUCAGAUGUGAAAACCACGGGCUCAACCUGUGGCCUGCAUUUGAAACUGUCGUUCUUGAGUACUGGAGAGGCAGACGGAAUUCCUAGUGUAGCGGUGAAAUGCGUAGAUAGUAGGAGGAACACCAGUGGCGAAGGCGGUCUGCUGGACAGCAACUGACGCUGAGGCGCGAAAGCGUGGGGAGCAAACAGGAUUAGAUACCCGUGUAGUC